This 1074-nucleotide ribosomal RNA is filed under the name uncultured Gammaproteobacteria bacterium. RNAcentral describes it as "bacterial SSU rRNA". It matches the Rfam family "Bacterial small subunit ribosomal RNA", at positions 9 to 1077 of the family's 1533-position model. The record is from RNAcentral. Lineage: Bacteria; Pseudomonadati; Pseudomonadota; Gammaproteobacteria.
GAGUUUGAUCCUGGCUCAGAUUGAACGCUGGCGGCAGGCUUAACACAUGCAAGUCGAGCGGGGGAAGGUAGCUUGCUACUGGACCUAGCGGCGGACGGGUGAGUAAUGCUUAGGAAUCUGCCUAUUAGUGGGGGACAACAUUCCGAAAGGAAUGCUAAUACCGCAUACGUCCUACGGGAGAAAGCAGGGGACCUUCGGGCCUUGCGCUAAUAGAUGAGCCUAAGUCGGGUUAGCUAGUUGGUGGGGUAAAGGCCUACCAAGGCGACGAUCUGUAGCGGGUCUGAGAGGAUGAUCCGCCACACUGGGACUGAGACACGGCCCAGACUCCUACGGGAGGCAGCAGUGGGGAAUAUUGGACAAUGGGGGGAACCCUGAUCCAGCCAUGCCGCGUGUGUGAAGAAGGCCUUAUGGUUGUAAAGCACUUUAAGCGAGGAGGAGGCUACUAGUAUUAAUACUACUGGAUAGUGGACGUUACUCGCAGAAUAAGCACCGGCUAACUCUGUGCCAGCAGCCGCGGUAAUACAGAGGGUGCGAGCGUUAAUCGGAUUUACUGGGCGUAAAGCGUGCGUAGGCGGCCAUUUAAGUCAAAUGUGAAAUCCCCGAGCUUAACUUGGGAAUUGCAUUCGAUACUGGAUGGCUAGAGUAUGGGAGAGGAUGGUAGAAUUCCAGGUGUAGCGGUGAAAUGCGUAGAGAUCUGGAGGAAUACCGAUGGCGAAGGCAGCCAUCUGGCCUAAUACUGACGCUGAGGUACGAAAGCAUGGGGAGCAAACAGGAUUAGAUACCCUGGUAGUCCAUGCCGUAAACGAUGUCUACUAGCCGUUGGGGCCUUUGAGGCUUUAGUGGCGCAGCUAACGCGAUAAGUAGACCGCCUGGGGAGUACGGUCGCAAGACUAAAACUCAAAUGAAUUGACGGGGGCCCGCACAAGCGGUGGAGCAUGUGGUUUAAUUCGAUGCAACGCGAAGAACCUUACCUGGCCUUGACAUACUAGAAACUUUCCAGAGAUGGAUUGGUGCCUUCGGGAAUCUAGAUACAGGUGCUGCAUGGCUGUCGUCAGCUCGUGUCGUGAGAUGUUG